GCGUCGUGAGAACUUAAGUAUGCGUUAUUCUUAUAAUAAAAAAGUUUCCUCGAAGAUGGUAUAAAAGGGAGUGUUGCUGAAUGAAACAUCACAUUUUCUACAAAUUUCUACUGCACAAGUGAAACCCUCGAGUUUGAAAAUGAAACUCUUCGUUUUAACCCUCGCCAUUCUCUCCAUCGCUGUGCUCGUUACAUCAGUUCCAUUACCAGAUGUACCUGAUGACAUGAAUCUAAUUAUUGCGGAUCCUAAUCUGGUGAACGAUGGUAUGGCGCGAGGAAAACGUGCUCCGUGGCUCGGACUACUCGUCCGAGGAGUAGCUUCCGGUAUCGGUAGUUUCUUCGGCGCUCGAAGUCGACAAUGAUGAGGACCAGAAAGCCCACUCCAGCGCCUGACCCUAUCCCAAACACUGGAGCGAAAGCAAUAUCUCCAGUGUUUAUAAUUUCCAUAAUUUUUGUAACUGAUAAAUUUGAAUAAAUUUUGAAAUAUUAUCACAAGGAAA
Diachasmimorpha longicaudata is the source of this 499-nucleotide long non-coding RNA. RefSeq lists it as uncharacterized. The transcript has 3 exons. The record is from RefSeq and is a predicted model, not a curated record. NCBI's taxonomy places the organism in Eukaryota, Metazoa, Arthropoda, Insecta, Hymenoptera, Braconidae.